UGCAGUCGAGGGGCAGCAUUAAAGUUUGCUUGCAACUUUAGAUGGCGACCGGCGCACGGGUGAGUAACACGUAUCCAACCUGCCGAUAACUCGGGGAUAGCCUUUCGAAAGAAAGAUUAAUACCCGAUGGUAUAUUUUCACCGCAUGGUGAAACUAUUAAAGAAUUUCGGUUAUCGAUGGGGAUGCGUUCCAUUAGGCAGUUGGUGAGGUAACGGCUCACCAAACCUUCGAUGGAUAGGGGUUCUGAGAGGAAGGUCCCCCACAUUGGAACUGAGACACGGUCCAAACUCAUACGGGAGGCAGCAGUGAGGAAUAUUGGUCAAUGGGCGCGAGCCUGAACCAGCCAAGUAGCGUGAAGGAUGACGGCCCUAUGGGUUGUAAACUUCUUUUAUAUGGGAAUAAAGUUUGGUAUGCAUACCAUUUUGUAUGUACCAUAUGAAUAAGGAUCGGCUAACUCCGUGCCAGCAGCCGCGGUAAUACGGAGGAUCCGAGCGUUAUCCGGAUUUAUUGGGUUUAAAGGGAGCGUAGGUGGAUUGUUAAGUCAGUUGUGAAAGUUGCGGCUCAACCGUAAAAUUGCAGUUGAAACUGGCAGUCU
This 595-nucleotide ribosomal RNA is filed under the name Bacteroides sp. HGA0023. RNAcentral's name for it is "bacterial SSU rRNA". It matches the Rfam family "Bacterial small subunit ribosomal RNA", at positions 56 to 642 of the family's 1533-position model. Lineage: Bacteria; Pseudomonadati; Bacteroidota; Bacteroidia; Bacteroidales; Bacteroidaceae. The record is from RNAcentral.